GCAUGCAUUGCUUUCUUUUAUAUUUUAAAUGCUUAAAUAUAUGGGGAGCACAGUCUCUAUGUUGAAAGUUGUAUUUUAUCUAACAGUUAAAAAACUGAUGUCAAGAAAAUUGAUAAAUGUUUGGAAUUCGAAUAAAUAUUGCCUAGGAGGCAUCGAUGCAAUAACAUGGAACAUUUCCACAGCAGCAGCGCCUCAAAGUGUUUGGCCACAAUUACGCAUUGGAGCUGAGCGGCUAGAGUAAGGGGGCAGAUGCGGCGAAACUGGAGCUGAAGCUGUAGCUGUAGCUGGGCGUGAGAUGCAUACGCUGCCAUCAAAUUUAAUCGCCAUGAAAUUUGUGGGCCAUAAAAAUGGAUGGGGAGGAGCGUGGGCGGCGCGUAACGUUACACCAAAUUUUAUUAGCUUCAAUUUAACAAUUUGUUGGAAGGGGGAAGGUGGCCGGAGUGGUCCCCCUUGACUUUAUUAUUAAUAUUUAAACAGGCGGCAGCAACAUUAGAAUUAUGCGAGCGGCGACUUCAUUUCACCUGCUGCAGUUAAUAAGCGGCCAGCGCUACCCAAAAGCCUGAAACAGAAACCAUUUUAAUUUUUCACAUGGAUGAGUGCAAAAUUAAGACAUUAAAUGAAUGCGCGUCCCCAUCUACGGUGUGCGGCCAAAUUGAGCUGGCUGCCACGAGUCGCACAGCUGGCGCCCGAGCAGAGGGUCCCAACACUGUCUGGCUGGGUUGCUGACGAACAACUGAUUUUAAUAACAGUCAUCUGCCGCUGUGCAUAACGAUGCGUAACGCGAAUGCGAACGCGAAGGCGAGUGCUCCCUGUCCACGUUAUGACUUUGAUUCAUCAGCAGCAGCCCGAGCAGGAGCUGUAGAUGGAGCUGGAGCCGGAGCAGCAGCAGCAGCAGCAGCAGCAGCAAGAGCCAAGGCGGACGGGCACAGACACUGUCCGUGUCGGCAUUUGCAUACAAAUGGGCGUUGCCAUAAGUUCACUGGCGUUGCCACAAUUUGCUUUUAAAACGUGCAUAUUCUAAUUGCCAGCAAUUUGAGGUGGCGUCUACCGUUGCCGAUGGCGUCGCUGUCGCCAUCGUUGACAAAAGAGCAAAGUUUAUGGCUAAUACAGGCAUUAGGUAAGCUGGUAAUAUCCGCAAAUCUUUCCCCCUACCAACCACACAGAGCGCGAAACGCUUAAGACAAAAAGCGACUUAAAGUCAAGCAAUUCUCGUGAAUUCCCCAAGCAUUUUGCAAUAGCUUUGCUAGCCCACAUGCUCCACGCAGCAAGUCCUGCAACUCGUUCCCCAGGCAGCGUCAGUAAUAAAACUUUAUUGAAUUGUAUUGAUUUUAAAAUUAUUACCGCUGAGGCGGAAGUAAUGCCAUUG
Drosophila virilis is the source of this 1366-nucleotide non-coding RNA. NCBI's taxonomy places the organism in Eukaryota, Metazoa, Arthropoda, Insecta, Diptera, Drosophilidae. The record is from RefSeq and is a predicted model, not a curated record.